RNA transcript from Cuculus canorus (common cuckoo), 1922 nucleotides. It is a transcript of the gene named beta-arrestin-1, with no coding region annotated. The transcript is spliced from 17 exons. NCBI's taxonomy places the organism in Eukaryota, Metazoa, Chordata, Aves, Cuculiformes, Cuculidae. The record is from RefSeq and is a predicted model, not a curated record.
CCCCCCUCCCCCCCCCAACCCCCCGGUAAUUUUCCAAGCGCUUCCCGGUUCAGGAUCCGCGGGGCCAUGGGAGACAAAGGCACCCGGGUCUUCAAGAAGGCGAGUCCCAACGGGAAGCUCACUGUCUACCUGGGCAAGAGGGACUUCGUGGACCACAUCGAUGUGGUGGACCCCGUGGAUGGAGUGGUUCUGGUGGAUCCCGAAUACCUGAAGGAGCGCAAAGUCUUUGUGACCUUGACCUGCGCUUUCCGCUAUGGCCGUGAGGACCUCGAUGUCCUGGGAUUGACCUUCCGGAAGGACCUCUUUGUGGCCAACGCUCAGGCGUUCCCCCCCGUCCCCGAGGAGAAGAAAGCGCUGACGCGGCUCCAGGAGCGCCUCCUCAAGAAACUCGGGGACAACGCCUUCCCCUUCACCUUCGAGCUGCCGCGCAGUUUGCCGUGCUCGGUGACACUGCAGCCGGGACCCGAGGACACGGGCAAGGCCUGCGGGGUUGACUACGAGGUCAAAGCCUUCUGCGCUGAGAACCUCGAGGAGAAGAUCCACAAGAGGAACUCCGUCCGUUUGGUGAUCCGUAAGGUCCAAUACGCCCCGGAACGGCCCGGACCUCAACCCAUGGCCGAGACCACCCGGCAGUUCCUCAUGUCCGACAAACCGCUCCACCUCGAGGCCUCCCUGGACAAGGAGAUCUACUACCACGGAGAACCCAUCAGCGUCAACGUCCACGUCACCAACAACACCAACAAAACGGUGAAGAAGAUCAAGAUCUCGGUGCGUCAGUACGCGGACAUCUGCCUCUUCAACACCGCCCAAUACAAAUGUCCGGUGGCCGUGGAGGACGCCGACGAUGUGGUGGCCCCGAGCUCGACCUUCUGCAAGGUCUACACCCUCACGCCCUUCUUGGCCAACAACCGGGAGAAGCGCGGGCUGGCGCUGGACGGCAAACUCAAGCACGAGGACACCAACUUGGCCUCCAGCACGCUGUUGAGGGAUGGAGCCAACAAGGAGAUCUUGGGCAUCAUCGUCUCCUAUAAGGUGAAGGUGAAGCUGGUGGUGUCCCGAGGAGGCCUCCUGGGAGACCUCGCGUCCAGUGACGUUGCGGUGGAGUUGCCCUUCACGUUGAUGCACCCCAAACCCAAAGAGGAACCGCCCCACCGCGACGCUCCGGAGAACGACGCUCCCAUCGACACCAACCUCAUCGAGUUGGACACCAAUGACGACGACAUCGUCUUCGAGGACUUUGCGCGCCAACGCCUCAAAGGUGUGAAGGACGACAAAGAGGAUGAGGACGAACGCACCCAUUCGCCGCAGCUCAACGACAGAUAAAGCCGUCCAUUCCCCUCCAUUCCCCUCCAUUCCCCUCCAUUCCCAUCCAUCCCAUCCCUCUCCGCCGUCCCCGCGGCCCUUCCCUCCCUCCCAACAGUCGCCUCGAUCCUUCCUUCCCACUCCAUCAUCUCCGGCGCCGACUCCGAUGCGCUACGGACCCUCUUCCCGGCGUCCUCCGUGGCUCCGUUGGGGGAAUUUUCCCAUCCGGAGACGGCGCCGAUGGAGAAGGAUUCGGAGCGGGAGAGGCGGUGGUGGUGGUAACGGCGCGGUUCGGCAGUCGCCGGCGCGGUGUGCGGUAUUCCAGAGGCUCCGGGAUCCAUGGGAGGGACGGGAACCACCGGAACCGCCUGACGGCUCCGUCCGGACACCCCAAGAACCCCCAUCUCACCCCAAAAAGGAGGUUCCAAACACCCAUCUCGGUCCUGGGGGACCUCAAGAACCCCCAUCUCAGUUCUGAGGGACCCCAAGAACCCCCAUCUCAGUCCUGGGGGACCCCAAGAACCUUCAUCCCACCCCAAAAGGAGGUUCCAAACCCCCAUCUGAGUCCUGGGGGACCCCAAGAACCUUCAUCCCACCCCAAAAGGAGGUUCCAAACCCCC